This 478-nucleotide ribosomal RNA is filed under the name uncultured bacterium. RNAcentral describes it as "partial 16S ribosomal RNA". It matches the Rfam family "Bacterial small subunit ribosomal RNA", at positions 28 to 523 of the family's 1533-position model. The record is from RNAcentral.
GACGAACGCUGGCGGCGUGCUUAACACAUGCAAGUCGAACGGUAAGGCCCUUCGGGGUACACGAGUGGCGAACGGGUGAGUAACACGUGGGUGAUCUGCCCUGCACUUCGGGAUAAGCCUGGGAAACUGGGUCUAAUACCGGAUAGGACUCCGGACUGCAUGGUCUGGGGUGGAAAGCUUUUGCGGUGUGGGAUGGGCCCGGGGCCUAUCAGGUGGUUGGUGGGGUGGUGGCCUACCAGGGCGACGACGGGGAGCCGGCCUGAGAGGGUGACCGGCCACACUGGGACUGAGAUAGGGCCCAGACUGCUACGGGAGGCAGCAGUGGGGAAUAUUGCACAAUGGGCGCAAGCCUGAUGCAGCGACGCCGCGUGAGGGAUGACGGCCUUCGGGUUGUAAACCUCUUUCAGAAUCGACGAAGCGAAAGUGACGGUAGCUGCAGAAGAAGGACCGGCCAACUACGUGCCAGCCGCCGCAGUAA